AAGCUUACCAAAGAAUAUCAAACUCCGAAUGCCAUGUAGAUGAUGAAUGGGAGUCAGACUGCACGAGAUAAGUUGGGCGGUCAAAAGGGAAAGAGCCCAGACCACCGGCUAAGGUCCCAAAGUGUGUGUUAAGUGGAAAAGGAUGUGGGAAUUCGAAGACAACUAGGAUGUUGGCUCAGAAGCAGCCAUACAUUCAAAGAGUGCGUAACAGCUCACUAGUCGAGAGUUCCUGCGCCGAAAAUGUCCGGGGCUGAAACACGACACCGAAGCCGUGGACUCGCAAUGCGAGUGGUAGAGGAGCAUUCUUAAAACCGACGAAGCUGUACCGGAAGGAGCAGUGGAGGGAUAAGAAGAGAGAAUGCCGGAAUGAGUAGCGAGAGAAAGGUGGGAAUCCUUUCGGCCGAAUAUCUAAGGUUUCCAGAGUAAAGCUGAUCUGCUCUGGGUAAGUCGGGGCCUAAGCACAGGUCGCAAGACGUAAGCGAUGGAUAACAGGUUUAGAUUCCUGUACCACGCAUUAUCAGAACUGUAGGGACGCAUGUGGAAAGCACGAGCCGGGAAUGGAAAGACCGGUACAAGCGGGGUAGGUGUACAAUAGGCAAAUCCGUUGUAUAAUCCGAAGACGUGAUGUGGAGCGAAAUAAAGUAGUGAAGCGUGUGAGCCAUGUGCCGAGAAAAGCUGCUAUUGUGUAAUGCGUGCCCGUACCGUAAACCGACACAGGUGGAUGAGGAGAGAAUCCUAAGGCCGGCGGAAGAAGCAUUGUUAAGGAAUUCGGCAAAAUGACCCCGUAACUUCGGGAGAAGGGGUGCCUGCGAGAGCAGGCCGCAGAGAAUAGGCUCAAGCAACUGUUUAGCAAAAACACAGGUCUAUGCGAAACCGAAAGGUGAAGUAUAUGGGCUGACGCCUGCCCGGUGCUGGAAGGUUAAGAGGAGAGGUUAGCGCAAGCGAAGCUUUGAAUUUAAGCCCCAGUAAACGGCGGCCGUAACUAUAACGGUCCUAAGGUAGCGAAAUUCCUUGUCGGGUAAGUUCCGACCCGCACGAAAGGCGUAAUGAUUUGAGCACUGUCUCGACAAUGCAUCCGGUGAAAUUGAAGUACCAGUGAAGAUGCUGGUUACCCGCGCCAGGACGGAAAGACCCCAUGGAGCUUUACUCCAGUUUGAUACUGGGAUUCGGUACUGCAUGUACAGGAUAGGUGGGAGACGGAGAAGGAUGGACGCCAGUCUGUCCGGAGUCGCUGUUGGGAUACCACCCCUGUAGUACUGGGUUUCUAACCAGUUGCCAUGAACUGGCAAUGGGACAAUGUCAGGCGGGGAGUUUGACUGGGGCGGUCGCCUCCGAAAGGGUAUCGGAGGCGCUCAAAGGUUCCCUCAGAAUGGUUGGAAACCAUUUGAAGAGUGCAAAGGCAGAAGGGAGCUUGACUGCGACACCGACGGGUGGAGCAGGUACGAAAGUAGGACUUAGUGAUCCGGUGGUAUAAAGUGGGAUUGCCAUCGCUCAACGGAUAAAAGCUACCCUGGGGAUAACAGGCUUAUCACUCCCAAGAGUUCACAUCGACGGAGUGGUUUGGCACCUCGAUGUCGGCUCAUCGCAUCCUGGGGCUGUAGCAGGUCCCAAGGGUUGGGCUGUUCGCCCAUUAAAGCGGUACGCGAGCUGGGUUCAGAACGUCGUGAGACAGUUCGGUCCCUAUCCGGCGCGGGCGGAGGAUAUUUGAGAGGAGCUGUCCUUAGUACGAGAGGACCGGGAUGGACGGACCACUGGUGUAUCUGCUGUCGACCAACGGCAUGGCAGAGUAGCCAAGUCCGGAAGGGAUAAACGCUGAAGGCAUCUAAGCGUGAAGCCCCCCUCAAGAUGAGAUAUCCCUCCUUCGGGAGUAAGACCCCUUGA
Molecule: ribosomal RNA, 1881 nt
Filed under: human gut metagenome
Description: bacterial LSU rRNA
Rfam family: Bacterial large subunit ribosomal RNA
Source: RNAcentral